UACGGAGGGUGCGAGCGUUACUCGGAUUUACUGGGUGUAAAGGGCGUGUAGGCGGUCUCUCAAGUCCGAUGCUAAAGACCGAAGCUCAACGUCGGGGGUGCGUUGGAUACUGUGAGGCUAGACGGUCGGAGAGGGUAGCGGAAUUUCCGGAGUAGCGGUGAAAUUCGCAGAUACCGGAAGGAACGCCCGUAGCGAAGGAAGCUAUCGGGACGAUUUAUGACGCUGAGGCGCGAAAGCGUGGGGAGCAAACCGG
This 253-nucleotide ribosomal RNA is filed under the name uncultured bacterium. RNAcentral describes it as "partial 16S ribosomal RNA". It matches the Rfam family "Bacterial small subunit ribosomal RNA", at positions 524 to 776 of the family's 1533-position model. The record is from RNAcentral.